CUACGGGUCGCACCAGUGAGGAAUAUUGCACAAUGGGGGGAACCCUGAUGCAGCAACGCCGCGUGGAGGAUGACGCAUUUCGGUGUGUAAACUCCUUUUAUAUGUCAAGAAAAUGACGGUAGCAUAUGAAUAAGCACCGGCUAACUCCGUGCCAGCAGCCGCGGUAAUACGGAGGGUGCAAGCGUUACUCGGAAUCACUGGGCGUAAAGGACGCGUAGGCGGGUUGGAAAGUCAGGUGUGAAAUCCUACAGCUUAACUGUAGAACUGCACUUGAAACUUCUAAUCUAGAGUAUGGGAGGGGGAGAUGGAAUUAGUGGUGUAGGGGUAAAAUCCGUAGAUAUCACUAGGAAUACCUAAAGCGAAGGCGAUCUCCUGGAACAUUACUGACGCUAAGGCGUGAAAGCGUGGGGAGCAAAAAGGAUUAGAUACCCCUGUAGUC
Molecule: ribosomal RNA, 439 nt
Filed under: uncultured bacterium
Lineage: Bacteria
Description: partial 16S ribosomal RNA
Rfam family: Bacterial small subunit ribosomal RNA
Source: RNAcentral